RNAcentral lists this ribosomal RNA (514 nucleotides) under Boaedon fuliginosus (brown house snake). RNAcentral's name for it is "partial 16S ribosomal RNA". It matches the Rfam family "Bacterial large subunit ribosomal RNA", at positions 1816 to 2597 of the family's 2925-position model. The record is from RNAcentral. Lineage: Eukaryota; Metazoa; Chordata; Lepidosauria; Squamata; Lamprophiidae.
AACCUUUAGCCACCAAACCAAUAUUAAAGGCAACGCCUGCCCAGUGAACAAUUAAACGGCCGCGGUACCCUAACCGUGCAAAGGUAGCGUAAUCACCUGUCUAUUAAUUGUAGACCCGUAUGAACGGCAAAAUGAGGGUUUAACUGUCUCUUAUGAUGAUUCAAUUAAACUGAUCUCCCAGUCCAAAAGCUGGGAUACCCACAUAAGACCAGAAGACCCUGUGAAGCUUUAACUAAACUAUUAAACCCAAUAAUAGCUCCUUUGGGUUGGGGCGACCUUGGAAAAAAAAAGAACUUCCAAACUAAAUGAUCUAUACCACACCUUACUUUAGGCCUACAAGCCUACAAUCGACCCAGCACAGCUGAGUAAUGAACCAAGUUACUCCAGGGAUAACAGCGCCAUCUUCUUCAAGAGCCCAUAUCAAAAAGAAGGUUUACGACCUCGAUGUUGGAUCAGGACAUCCUAAUGGUGCAGCCGCUAUUAAGGGUUCGUUUGUUCAACGAUUAACAGUCCC